GAUGAACGCUGGCGGCGUGCCUAAUACAUGCAAGUCGAGCGAACAGACGAGGAGCUUGCUCCUCUGACGUUAGCGGCGGACGGGUGAGUAACACGUGGAUAACCUACCUAUAAGACUGGGAUAACUUCGGGAAACCGGAGCUAAUACCGGAUAAUAUAUUGAACCGCAUGGUUCAAUAGUGAAAGACGGUUUUGCUGUCACUUAUAGAUGGAUCCGCGCCGCAUUAGCUAGUUGGUAAGGUAACGGCUUACCAAGGCAACGAUGCGUAGCCGACCUGAGAGGGUGAUCGGCCACACUGGAACUGAGCACGGUCCAGACUCCUACGGGAGGCAGCAGUAGGGAAUCUUCCGCAAUGGGCGAAAGCCUGACGGAGCAACGCCGCGUGAGUGAUGAAGGUCUUCGGAUCGUAAAACUCUGUUAUUAGGGAAGAACAAAUGUGUAAGUAACUAUGCACGUCUUGACGGUACCUAAUCAGAAAGCCACGGCUAACUACGUG
This 496-nucleotide ribosomal RNA is filed under the name uncultured bacterium. RNAcentral describes it as "partial 16S ribosomal RNA". It matches the Rfam family "Bacterial small subunit ribosomal RNA", at positions 28 to 507 of the family's 1533-position model. The record is from RNAcentral.